GACGAACGCUGGCGGCGUGCUUAACACAUGCAAGUCGAACGAAGAGCGAUGGAAGCUUGCUUCUAUCAAUCUUAGUGGCGCACGGGUGAGUAACGCGUAAUCAACCUGCCCUUCAGAGGGGGACAACAGUUGGAAACGACUGCUAAUACCGCAUACGAUCUAAUCUCGGCAUCGAGGAUAGAUGAAAGGUGGCCUCUACAUGUAAGCUAUCACUGAAGGAGGGGAUUGCGUCUGAUUAGCUAGUUGGAGGGGUAACGGCCCACCAAGGCGAUGAUCAGUAGCCGGUCUGAGAGGAUGAACGGCCACAUUGGGACUGAGACACGGCCCAGACUCCUACGGGAGGCAGCAGUGGGGAAUCUUCCGCAAUGGACGAAAGUCUGACGGAGCAACGCCGCGUGAGGGAUGACGGCCUUCGGGUUGUAAAGCUCUGUUAAUCGGGACGAAAGGCCUUCUUGCGAAUAGUGAGAAGGAUUGACGGUACCGGAAUAGAAAGCCACGGCUAACUACGUG
This 510-nucleotide ribosomal RNA is filed under the name uncultured bacterium. RNAcentral's name for it is "partial 16S ribosomal RNA". It matches the Rfam family "Bacterial small subunit ribosomal RNA", at positions 28 to 507 of the family's 1533-position model. The record is from RNAcentral.